GUUAGCUUAGUGUAAUAUUCGCACGUAGGCUUUUCAAGCCAAAAGCGCUAAUUAUUAGCAGCUAACC
This 67-nucleotide transfer RNA is filed under the name Lanceolaria lanceolata. Its description in RNAcentral is "tRNA-Glu". It matches the Rfam family "tRNA". From Rfam's summary of the family: Transfer RNA (tRNA) molecules are approximately 80 nucleotides in length. Their secondary structure includes four short double-helical elements and three loops (D, anti-codon, and T loops). Lineage: Eukaryota; Metazoa; Mollusca; Bivalvia; Unionida; Unionidae. The record is from RNAcentral.